This 1509-nucleotide ribosomal RNA is filed under the name uncultured rumen bacterium. RNAcentral's name for it is "bacterial SSU rRNA". It matches the Rfam family "Bacterial small subunit ribosomal RNA". The record is from RNAcentral.
AGAGUUUGAUCCUGGCUCAGGACGAACGCUGGCGGCGUGCCUAACACAUGCAAGUCGAACGGGGAUUUUGUUUCGGCAGAAUCCUAGUGGCGAACGGGUGAGUAACGCGUAGGCAACCUGCCCUCCGGCCGGGGACAACACUCCGAAAGGGGUGCUAAUACCGGAUACGAAGUCUGUGCCGCAUGGUACGGAUUUGAAAGAUGGCCUCUAUUUAUAAGCUAUCGCCGGGGGAUGGGCCUGCGUCCGAUUAGCUGGUUGGUGGGGUAACGGCCUACCAAGGCGACGAUCGGUAGCCGGUCUGAGAGGAUGAACGGCCACAUUGGGACUGAGACACGGCCCAGACUCCUACGGGAGGCAGCAGUGGGGAAUCUUCCGCAAUGGGCGCAAGCCUGACGGAGCAACGCCGCGUGAGUGAGGAAGUUCUUCGGAACGUAAAGCUCUGUUGUUCCUGACGAACCUCCCUUCUAUCAACAACGGAGGGGACUGACGGUAGGGAACGAGGAAGCCACGGCUAACUACGUGCCAGCAGCCGCGGUAAUACGUAGGUGGCAAGCGUUGUCCGGAAUUAUUGGGCGUAAAGCGCAUGUAGGCGGUAAUUUAAGUCUGUCGUGAAACUGCGGGGCUCAGCCCCGUAUGGCGAUGGAAACUGGGUUACUUGAGUGCAGGAGAGGAAAGGGGAACUCCCAGUGUAGCGGUGAAAUGCGUAGAUAUUGGGAAGAACACCGGGUGGCGAAGSSSCYUYUCUGGACUGUGUCUGACGCUGAGAUGCGAAAGCCAGGGUAGCGAACGGGAUUAGAUACCCCGGUAGUCCUGGCCCKAAACGAUGGGUACUAGGUGUGGGAGGUAUCGACCCCUUCCGUGCCGGAGUUAACGCAAUAAGUACCCCGCCUGGGGAGUACGGCCGCAAGGCUUAAACUCAAAGGAAUUGACGGGGGCCCGCACAAGCGGAGGAACAUGUGGUUUAAUUCGAUGAUACGCGAGGAACCUUACCCGGGCUUGAACUGCAGCAGAACGAUUGAGAGAUCAUGAGGUCCUUCGGGACUGCUGUGGAGGUGCUGCAUGGUUGUCGUCAGCUCGUGCCGUGAGGUGUCGGCUUAAGUGCCAUAACGAGCGCAACCCCUCUCUUCAGUUGCCAUCACUUCGGGUGGGCACUCUGGAGACACUGCCACCGUAAGGUGUGAGGAAGGUGGGGAUGACGUCAAAUCAGCACGGCCCUUACGUCCGGGGCUACACACGUGUUACAAUGGGUGGUACAGAGCGUCGGCCGCCGGCAACGUCGGUCCAAUCGUGAAAUCCAUCCUCAGUUCGGACUGGGGUCUGCAACCCGACCCCACGAAGCUGGAUUCGCUAGUAAUCGCGCAUCAGCCAUGGCGCGGUGAAUACGUUCCCGGGCCUUGUACACACCGCCCGUCAAGCCAUGAAAGCCGGGGGCGCCUGAAGUCCGUGACCGCGAGGGUCGGCCUAGGGUGAAACCGGUGAUUGGGGCUAAGUCGUAACAAGGUAGCCGUA